GCCCGAUCCUGUUUUCCUCGCUGAAGUGUUUCUUUCCAUGGGCACAAGCUAUCAAACCUCAACUGCGCCAUUUCAAGAGACCCAGUUACCACUCAGGAACCCACUUCCCACCCUUUCACAAGAAGUCCGAGGAACAUCCGGUGAGAUACAAGCUGCUCGACCAGAGGGGCAGGAUGAAAAAGAUUCAACAUAUUUCUCAGAACUGGAAUAGGAAAUAGAAGAAGAAAGGAAGUUCACACUGCUUUUUGCAAGCUGAUGAAGGACACUGUGUAAUAAUCGUGGAUCAUUUUAAUUCUGCACCAAGUGGGGAGAAAUCCAAGAUGCAAGCAAGUAUAUGAUUUAGCCAAAUAAUUCCAUGGAAGCUUCCAGUAGAACCAUUCUCAAUAGCGUUCCUCAUUGCUGGAAUAUUCUCACAUUUAGGGCUAAAAUAUUGGGCUCUUACUUCAAAUUUUCAAAAGUAAAUCUGCAUACAUAGAAUUACUGUCAAAUUAAGAAUGGUAUAGAUUCUGAGAUUUUAAGAGACCAUUAUGACCAUCUAGUCUGAUCUUCUCCAUAACACAGGGCAUAUAGAACUUCACCCAGUAAUUUCCGCAUUGAACCUAAUAUCAUGUGUGAGGUCCCGCAUAGCCACCUUUAAACGGAUCCUGUUAUGAAUAAGACACCUGACAAUUAUACUACAAUAAGGAUUGAGAAAUAAGUACAAGGAAUGGGAGAUGAACAACUCCCCACUAAUUUCACACAGGAGGGGAAAAAAAGAAAGCACGUUACAAUGCAUGAGGCUUAUUUAGCUUUGUUCAGCUACUAAUAGAUGUUUCUGGCUUUUGGCCCAUUGAUCAAUAUGAAGAUUGGAAUCCAAGUCUAUGAGGCCAUACUCCUCCAAAGCUUUGUAUGUAGGAAGGAACCCCUAGAUUAGAGAAGCUGGGUAGAACAAAUACCUAAUACAGAAGCAAAGCGGUAAGAAUAGGAGAGGCUUGCAGUCUCAUUACACAUGUAUUCAACUUCAGCCUCUUGGUAAAGAGCUUUAAACAGGACCAUAUUAAUCUCUAGUGCUCUAAGAGUUUUCAUUCCUGGAAAUGCUGUCUCUGAAAGGCAUUGUUACAAAUGAUUUAGGUAGUGAAAACUAAUUGGUUGGAGCUGUGACAUUAUCCCUAUUGAUUAUCCCCACUUCAAUAAUACAUGAAAUAUUGAAGUUCCAGGAUCAACAUCACAAGGUGACACAUCUCUUUGGUCCCACAGACAUGCAGGUGUGAUAGCAGAGUUACCCAUCCCGCCUCUUGUCCCAUUUGGCUAUAGGCUACAGAUGUGUUAGUCUGCCUGACAUCAGAAUGGCUACAUUUGAUGUGUAUACAGGGCCGUCCUUAGGCAUAGGCAACAUAGGCAGCUGCGUAGGGCACCUGAAAAUUUGGGGCACCAAUGGGUCUUAGUGUCCAC
This 1431-nucleotide long non-coding RNA is filed under the name Gopherus evgoodei (Goodes thornscrub tortoise). Its description in RNAcentral is "lncRNA (ENSGEVG00005008303.1)". Lineage: Eukaryota; Metazoa; Chordata; Testudines; Testudinidae. The record is from RNAcentral.